RNAcentral lists this long non-coding RNA (2774 nucleotides) under Sus scrofa (pig). RNAcentral's name for it is "lncRNA (ENSSSCG00065020138.1)". The record is from RNAcentral. Lineage: Eukaryota; Metazoa; Chordata; Mammalia; Artiodactyla; Suidae.
CCUUGCGUCUGACCUCUUUGGGUCACCAUAUUUGUGAAAUCAUUCCACAUCGUAGUUUGACAUUACAGCUGGCUCAUUCUUGAGUUAUAUGAUGCUCCUUUUUUUUUUCAUUUUUUAAAGUUUUAUUGUAGUAUAGUUGAUUUACAAUUUGAUAAUUUCUGCUAUGCAACAAAGUGAUUCAGUCAUACACAUAUACAUAUCCUUCUCUUUCAGAUUCUUUUCCCACAUAGAUUAUCACAGAAUAUUGGGUAGAGUUCUCUGUGUUAUAUAGCAGGUCCCCAUUGGCCAGUCAUUCCAUAUACCUCAGUGUGCAUAUGUCAAUCCCAAACCCCCAGUCCAUCUCUCCCCCUCCAGCCUGUCCCCUUUGGUAACCAUAACUUUGUUUUCGAAGUCUAUGAGUCUGUUUUUAUUCUGUAGACAAGUUCAUGUGUAUCUUUUUUUAAGAUUCCAUAUAUAAGUGAUAUCAUAUGAUGUUUGUCUUUCACUCUCUGACUAACUUAAGAUGAUAACCUCUAGGUCCAUUCAUGUUGCUGCAGACAGCAUGAAUUCAUUCUUUUUAUGGCUGAGUAAUAUUCCAUUGUAUAUAUGUGCCACAUCUUCUUUAUCCAUUCCUCUGUUAAUGGAUAUUUAGGUUGCUUCCAUGUCUUUAAAAAUAGAACUACCAUAUGAUCCAGCAAUCCCACUCCUGGGCAUCUAUCCAGAGAAAACCAUAAUUCAAAAAGAUACAUGCACCCCAGUGUCCUUUGCAGCACUGUUUAUAGUAUUUCUAUUUUUCUGAAUAAGCAAAUUUGCCCUGACGUCACUCUUUACUCAGACCUGGUAUUUUUCAAUAUCUAGUUUUCUAGUUUCUAUUUUAAGACUUUAACUAAGAUUGCUGUCCUCUCGAGUGGUUCCCAGCAAAAAUGACCAUGUCAGUGUUGAAAUAUUGGUGAAUAGAUAAACCUACACAGGCAUAAUGUCUCUACUUCAGCAGAUGUGAUUUGAUAUAACAGUCAGUUUCAUAUAUCAUGCCAAGGACAUCUCAGCCCAUGGAGAGAAUUUUAUUUUAUUUAUUUAUUUAUUUUGUUACAACCACACCUACAUCAUAUGGAAGUUCUGGGGCUAGGGGUCAAAUUGGAGCUACAGCUGCUGGCCUAAGCCACAGCCAUAGCAAAGCAGGAUCCAAGCCACAUCUGCGACCUAGGCUGCAGUCUGAGGCAAUGCCAAAUCCUUUACCCACUGAGCAAGGCCAGGGAUCGAACCUGAAUCCUCAUGGACACUAUGUUGGGUUCUUAACCCAAUGACCCACAAUGGGAACUUCACCCAUAAAGAGAAUUUUAUUCUCAAGGAAAACCUUAGAGCAGUGGUUCUCAAACUUCAGCUCAUUGCUGGGUCCCCUCACCUGGUCUCUGAUUUGCUGGUCUACCCUUUCUAACAGGCUCCCAGGUGAUGCUGACACUGUAGGUCUAAGGACCACAUUUUGAGAACCACGGCCUUAGAGCCUGCAAAUUAAGCUUUGUUUCUAUUCCUUUCCCAUAUCCCAUACAUUCCCUCCUACCGUGCGUUUGUUUCUCAAAAUCCUUGGAAUCAACCAGGUAGCGGUUUAGUGCUGUUGUCAAACUUACCACCCACAUCAUUAACAUCCGUCCACUAACACCCAUACUUCAUUUGGAGCUCAUACUUCAUCUGUGCUUGAUCGGCUUGCCUUUCAGUGAGCCUAACUAGUUUGUCAGCUCCUUUAAGGCAUCUGUCCCUGUACUUGUCUAUAUCUGGGCAGUCCCUAGCAGGGAGUCCUUUGGGCACUGCUGAACUCACAUCCUAUAUUCUCUGCUGCCCACUGAGAUAGUCCAGGUACCCCCUGCCUCUCACCUGUGCAUGCUUUGUUCUUCCGUCUACAUCCGUAUAAAAUGAGGCUCUGGUACUUGCCGUUGUGAGACCAGGGCUGUUCUAACAAUAACCUGUGGUCAUGUCAUGACUGAUUCCCCAAAAGGCAUUACGUUCAUGCUCUACAAAGUAUACUUCGCAACUGAAGUGUUUUUUAAACUUGGCACCUAUUGGCACCACCUAGAGAAUUUUUUUAAAUAUGUCUGGGUCCCACCAAAGAGGUUCACGUCUAACGUGGACUUCGUGAUGUGGACUGUAGUCUGGGAGAGAGAUUGUGCAAAACUCCCAGGUGAUCCUAAUACAUAGAAAAGUUUUAGAGCUUCUGAAGUAUCUCGUUUUUCUGAUGAAUUUCAGGAGAGCCCAUUAUUUCCCCCCAGAGGGUUUUUUGCUUUAUUUCUGUGCCUCCCAUGGAGGCUUUCGUUUUGAAUUUUGCUUCCUUAAACAAGAAAAUGUAAUGAACUGUUAUUUACAUGUUGCACAAAGCAUUAAAUUAAUUCCAAGUCUUGGAUAAACUUGCUCUAAGCUAGAAAUAAAAAAUAAUAAACUCUGCUGAGUUCUGUAUUUCCUGUCUCCAUUUAGCUGGUCCAUAAGGACUUGGCAGGAAAGAGUUUGUUGUUCCUGUAAUUAAUGACUAGAACAGGAUUGUUUGGAGUAAAUGAUUCGUUUUGAAACAGUCCUCUAAUUUCCAGGGACAUUUUCCCAUUGUAAAACAAUUAUACAUAAAAAAACAAAAGUAGCCCUCAAAUACCAAGAUUUAUAACAGCACCAUGUCAUUCCAAACGUAAUGACCUCGUGUCUACCACCCCAGUGGUUUGGAAAAUAAAACAGAUUGAUUGCAGUCUAAUGCAGCUCCUUGAAAAUAGCUUAAAUUUGAUCAGUUAGAAACUGGUUGUUUCCAACCUAACUGAUGU